RNAcentral lists this transfer-messenger RNA (366 nucleotides) under Alphaproteobacteria bacterium. It matches the Rfam family "Alphaproteobacteria transfer-messenger RNA". Rfam says of the family: Bacterial tmRNA, also known as 10Sa RNA or SsrA, is named for its dual tRNA and mRNA-like properties. Its role is to liberate the mRNA from a stalled ribosome. To accomplish this part of the tmRNA is used as a reading frame that ends in a translation stop signal. Lineage: Bacteria; Pseudomonadati; Pseudomonadota; Alphaproteobacteria. The record is from RNAcentral.
GGGCUUCAAAUUAACCCCUACAUGGCUUAUAUAAACCCUGCCCGCUUCGGUGGGAUAUGGCGAUAAAUUGCGCGUGUAAUAACCGUAUCGGACCCGGGGGCGGUACCCGGCGGCUCCACCAAAACCCUUCUCGCUAUCUGGCGGAGGGCUUCGACGGGGCCGAAAUAGGAUCGACGAGCGUCUAAAGACGAUGUUUUUGCCCGGUUUGCCUCCGUUAUUUGGCUAAACUGAAUAGUUGCUAAUGACAACAAUUCGGAAGAGUUCGCUCUUGCUGCGUAAUGCGGCUGAGUAAGCUCGAUUUCUAAGUCCUGACCUCUUCCAAGGCCAGGCGGGGCCCCCCGGCGCCUGGCAACAGAAGCCGGGACU